CACAGUAAUAUUUAAACAAUCAGGUUUAUUAUCUACUUAUUUUAGUUAAAUGCCAUUUUUUCCCUAGAGGAAGAAAAAUUUUAACCUUCAACAAUUGCAUUUGAAGUGAAUGGGCCUGUAAAAGAUACAUCAUCUCCUCUGAUUUGAUUCACCUUGCACAGAAGAUUCCUGCUCAUGAACUGUUAAUAUGACUUAGCCCAAUCAGAUCGGUUUCAUUUGUGUCCUACUUCAAAUCUUUAGGCUUUCCAUCUGUCAAAAACGCUUGGGCGGCUGAAUGAUAAAGUCUUGUUGCUAUGGUGAUUAGUUCCAUUACCUAGGUGACAGUGUUGGCAUUAUGUCACCACUAAAGCAACCUAACUCCCGAAAUAUUUUUAGUGUCUGUUGCAGAUGAACUACAGUAAAAACACCAUCUAUCAAUGACCCCAAAUACCCAAGGAUAUUUGAAGGUAAGGAAGGUGUAGGUUGGCCACUCUCUGCAUGACUUGAAGAAGGGCAAGUAAGGAGCAAAAUACUCAAGAGGACCAUCUGCACACAGCAACACUGCCAAAGAAAGACAGGAUGCUUAUUUGCAACUAAUGCAUGAGAGAAUAAAAAUUUAAGUUCAAGUGCAAGAGAGGCUUAGGUAUUGAACUAUAGACCCUACAUAUUAGGCAAUUGGUGUGUGAACACCACAUCCAGCAAUCUCUCUUCAGAGGAGGAGGAGGACACCUGUGGAAACUCUACAGAAGACAUACAAAUGAGUUAUGUUCAGAACAGAGAAUCGACUCAAUUCUGCAGUUCCAACCGCAUGCUGAAGUCCCUGAAGAGCCACUUCUAUAUCAGAUGAUUCAUUUUCUGCGGAUGAUAAGAUACCUGCCCAAUGGGAGAGUGUACCCACAGAGGAGUCAGCUACUACCUGCACUUCAUGCAUCACCUUUGAAACUGAGGAAUCUGCUAGUAUUGCUUCUGGAAUUUAUCAUCUGUAUUUGAAGAUGUAUUUGUACAACUAAGGAGCCUGUUUAGAUCAAGGAAUUCUCAAAAGUGUUUGGGGAAAUAUAGUUAUUGUUUCUAGAAGGAAGCGCACAAAACUGCAGCAUGUAAGUUACUUCAAGCAACUGAUAAUACACCACUGCUCAUACUACACUACCACAUAUAAAUGGAAUUGUGCGUUCUGUAAACUAGUGGGUAUUUUAUAACUGCUGACUCCUUUGCCCCUUCACAGCUCUUCCAGAGAACUAAAUUUAAAGACUUUUCACACUGAAAGGAUUACACAGGAAAAGACACAGAUAAUAACAAAGCUGCU
Molecule: long non-coding RNA, 1282 nt
Organism: Anser brachyrhynchus (Pink-footed goose)
Lineage: Eukaryota; Metazoa; Chordata; Aves; Anseriformes; Anatidae
Source: Ensembl